Long non-coding RNA from Myotis brandtii (Brandt's bat), 176 nucleotides. RefSeq lists it as uncharacterized. The transcript is spliced from 3 exons. Lineage: Eukaryota; Metazoa; Chordata; Mammalia; Chiroptera; Vespertilionidae. The record is from RefSeq and is a predicted model, not a curated record.
GACAUGGACAACAGUAUGGUAAUUCCGGGGGUGGGGAGGUAGAGGAGGGUAUAGGGGAUAUAAAUGUUGAUGGAGACUUGACUCGGGGUAGUGAACAUGUAAUACAGUGUACAGAUGAUGUGCUAUAGAAUUGUGCACCCGAAACCUGUAGAAUUUUGUUAACCAGUGUCACCCCA